GAUGAACGCUGGCGGCGUGCCUAAUACUUGCAAGUCGAGCGAACGGACGAGAAGCUUGCUUCUCUGAUGUUAGCGGCGGACGGGUGAGUAACACGUGGAUAACCUACCUAUAAGACUGGGAUAACUUCGGGAAACCGGAGCUAAUACCGGAUAAUAUUUUGAACCGCAUGGUUCAAAAGUGAAAGACGGUCUUGCUGUCACUUAUAGAUGGAUCCGCGCUGUAUUAGCUAGUUGGUAAGGUAACGGCUUACCAAGGCAACGAUGCAUAGCCGACCUGAGAGGGUGAUCGGCCACACUGGAACUGAGACACGGUCCAGACUCCUACGGGAGGCAGCAGUAGGGAAUCUUCCGCAAUGGGCGAAAGCCUGACGGAGCAACGCCGCGUGAGUGAUGAAGGUCUUCGGAUCGUAAAACUCUGUUAUUAGGGAAGAACAUAUGUGUAAGUAACUGUGCACAUCUUGACGGUACCUAAUCAGAAAGCCACGGCUAACUACGUG
This 497-nucleotide ribosomal RNA is filed under the name uncultured bacterium. RNAcentral describes it as "partial 16S ribosomal RNA". It matches the Rfam family "Bacterial small subunit ribosomal RNA", at positions 28 to 507 of the family's 1533-position model. The record is from RNAcentral.